Molecule: non-coding RNA, 111 nt
Organism: Acanthosepion pharaonis
Lineage: Eukaryota; Metazoa; Mollusca; Cephalopoda; Sepiida; Sepiidae
Source: the annotation of a GenBank genome assembly
CAGCCACAUCAUGUUCAAACACAGGUUCCUGGAUGAUCACUGAAGUUAAGCGACAUUGAGCCUGGUCAGUACUUAGAUGGGUGACUACUUGAAAAUACCAGGUGCCGUAAG